This 254-nucleotide ribosomal RNA is filed under the name uncultured bacterium. RNAcentral's name for it is "partial 16S ribosomal RNA". It matches the Rfam family "Bacterial small subunit ribosomal RNA", at positions 524 to 776 of the family's 1533-position model. The record is from RNAcentral.
UACGUAGGGGGCAAGCGUUGUCCGGAUUUAUUGGGCGUAAAGAGCGUGUAGGCGGUCUGGUAGGUCCGUUGUGAAAACUCGAGGCUCAACCUCGAGACGCCGAUGGAAACCAUCAGACUAGAGUCCGGAAGAGGAGAGUGGAAUUCCUGGUGUAGCGGUGAAAUGCGCAGAUAUCAGGAAGGAACACCCGUGGCUAAGGCGGCUCUCUAGUACGGUACUGACGCUGAGACGCGAAAGCGUGGGGAGCGAACAGG